Felis catus (domestic cat) is the source of this 1854-nucleotide long non-coding RNA. RefSeq lists it as uncharacterized. The transcript is spliced from 2 exons. The record is from RefSeq and is a predicted model, not a curated record. Lineage: Eukaryota; Metazoa; Chordata; Mammalia; Carnivora; Felidae.
GCCCGGAGCGCGGUGCCUGGGGCCACGCAGGGCGCAGGCUUUGGGCUCACUGACCGUCGCCCGGCGCUGAAGUGUCUUCGAGGUUCCGUUCCUGAGCCUUCCGGAUCCAAGCCGAGCACGGGGUCGCCCCCUUUUGCCAGGUGCGCGCAUCGCGUCGGCUCCCGGCUCGCUGGGCUCCGGGCGCGCGCCACCGCGGCGGAAAGAGGGAGCGAGGAGGGGGAAGCGGCGCCCUGACGCUGCCACGCCGCCGCCACCCCACCCCCAUCGAAAUCCCGGGCCACCGCAGCAAUCCGAGAAGGUCCCCGAGGAAGCGAAGCGCCGCGGCCGGGCCUGCAGCCGGCGGGGAGACGCGGAGGACGCGAGCCGGAAGGAACUGCGGCCCCCGCGCUGCCCCCACCGCCGCGGCCGUGUCCUCGGCCGCCCACCCCCGAGCCGGGUGACGCGGGCUGGGACAGCCGGGGGCCGCCGUGCUCCCCUCCCCCAGCGUUCCCUCCCGAAAUCACGCCGUUCCCUCGCUGGGGGGAGCGGGGGGCGGGGCUGAGCUGCAAACGCGCUUUCUGGGGUUGAAAUACCCAGAUGCCCGCAGACCUGGCGGACGCGAAUUCCCAGCCCCCCACCCCCUCCCCAGGACAGCGGUAUUUGGCGUUCAGUGCAAUUGCCUGAGAGAACGCGUGAUCCUGCCGAGUAUUCGGGAUUCGUCCGCACAGAGAUCUACGCGCCCGGCCGAGACCUAAGCUUCCCCCGAGCGUGACCUCAGCUGGCUGCUCCGCGCGGAGCCCCACGACGGCGACUUCCCUGGCAGCCUCCGUCCUACCUACUCAUCACCUAGUCCUCUGGAAGCGAGGGGUGCCGCGGGUUGCGUCCAGAUCUAGCUGGACGCUGGCGAGAAGCUGCCAACCAAACAGAAUGUUGUCACGCUCAGACACCGAAGCCCUGACCGCUGGUAGGGCUGAGUGCACGGUGUCCCUUCGCCCCUAGGGAGGCUGAACACGCUCCGCCAGCGCCCUAACCUCUGUUAGGGGAAGAAUCUCGGAGUUACCUGCCCCGGUAGCAACAGGCAGCGGGUGAGCCGAUCUAGGAUUACUUAAAAGACUCUCUUCUGCAGGGUAAGCCAACCGCAUAGCACCCCCCCCCCCACCCCCUUGGUUCUUUGGCUUUGUCCUGGGUCACCUCCAGGUUGUGGAACCAGCUCACGGGUAUGUUGGGCUUUAUUUGCUGGAUGUCUCUUUGGAACACGCUUUUCCUGGCACAGCCUAGACUGGAGUGGCUAAGGGGCGGCGUCAGGUAGUCUCUGAUCCUAAGUCAGAGUCUGGUGAACACUAGCUGUCAAUCACCCGACUUAACACUGAGCACAGCCUGUUUGGAGCCUAGAACCGUUUAGACCGGAAAGGACUCCGAACUUUUGGGGUCCUGUCUCAGGAAUUCGGAUCGGCUGAAGACAGACUGGGAAGGGCUUACAUUAAACUAAAAAGAAAAGUGUUGUAUAUGUGGGCUCGGGUACUUUUACAAAUUAUUUUUGAGCCAUCCUAUCAAUAUUCUGGAAUAUCAUUUGUUUCCACAGAUUCUUCCUCUGUUGUCUUAAAGAGGUUAAGUUACUUGCCCAAGGUCACACGGUUAGUAAAGCACAGUUAGGCUCUGAAGACCGAGGUCUCUAACAACCAAAACUUAUGUCCAGUUUUCACCAUGCUACACAGAAAAAUAAUGAAAUCGAGGGGCGAAGCAUGAGAAUUUUCAAGCAAUAAUUAAAAGAGGAAAGGAAUCAGGAGGAAGUGGACAGAAAAAAUGUCAUGCAAAGUAAACCAGUAAGUCUACUAUUCAAAGGAAAAAAAAAAAAAAAAACAACAGAAACCAAAC